AGUGAACGCUGGCGGCGUGCCUAAUACAUGCAAGUCGAACGAUGAAGCCUAGCUUGCUAGGCGGAUUAGUGGCGCACGGGUGAGUAAUGCAUAGAUCACAUGCCCUUUAGUUUGGGAUAGCCACUAGAAAUGGUGAUUAAUACCAAAUACUACCCUACGGGGGA
RNAcentral lists this ribosomal RNA (164 nucleotides) under Helicobacter heilmannii. RNAcentral describes it as "partial 16S ribosomal RNA". It matches the Rfam family "Bacterial small subunit ribosomal RNA", at positions 29 to 190 of the family's 1533-position model. Lineage: Bacteria; Pseudomonadati; Campylobacterota; Epsilonproteobacteria; Campylobacterales; Helicobacteraceae. The record is from RNAcentral.